UACGUAGGGGGCAAGCGUUGUCCGGAUUUAUUGGGCGUAAAGAGCGUGUAGGCGGCCAUGUAGGUCCGUUGUGAAAACUCGAGGCUCAACCUCGAGACGCCGAUGGAAACCAUGUGGCUAGAGUCCGGAAGAGGAGAGUGGAAUUCCUGGUGUAGCGGUGAAAUGCGCAGAUAUCAGGAGGAACACCAAUGGCGAAGGCAGCACUCUGGGACGUGACUGACGCUGAGACGCGAAAGCGUGGGGAGCAAACAGG
RNAcentral lists this ribosomal RNA (253 nucleotides) under uncultured bacterium. Its description in RNAcentral is "partial 16S ribosomal RNA". It matches the Rfam family "Bacterial small subunit ribosomal RNA", at positions 524 to 776 of the family's 1533-position model. The record is from RNAcentral.